UAACAUUUGGAAACGAAUGCUAAUACUCUAUAUGCCCUUAAGACAUAAGUCUGCAGGGGAAAUAUUUAUAGCUCUAGGAUCGGCCUGUACGGUAUCAGUUAGUUGGUGAGGUAAUGGCUCACCAAGACAAUGACGCCUAACUGGUUUGAGAGGAUGAUCAGUCACACUGGAACUGAGACACGGUCCAGACUCCUACGGGAGGCAGCAGUGGGGAAUAUUGCACAAUGGGGGAAACCCUGAUGCAGCAACGCCGCGUGGAGGAUGACACAUUUCGGUGCGUAAACUCCUUUUAUAUAGGAAGAUAAUGACGGUACUAUAUGAAUAAGCGCCGGCUAACUCCGUGCCAGCAGCCGCGGUAAUACGGAGGGCGCAAGCGUUACUCGGAAUUACUGGGCGUAAAGAGCGUGUAGGCGGGUUAAUAAGUUUGAAGUGAAAUCCUAUGGCUCAACCAUAGAACUGCUUUGAAAACUGUUAACCUAGAAUAUGGGAGAGGUAGAUGGAAUUUCUGGUGUAGGGGUAAAAUCCGUAGAGAUCAGAAGGAAUACCGAUUGCGAAGGCGAUCUACUGGAACAUUAUUGACGCUGAGACGCGAAAGCGUGGGGAGCAAACAGGAUUAGAUACCCUGGUAGUCCACGCCCUAAACGAUGUACACUAGUUGUUGUGAGGCUAGACCUUGCAGUAAUGCAGUAAACACAUUAAGUGUACCGCCUGGGGAGUACGGUCGCAAGAUU
This 731-nucleotide ribosomal RNA is filed under the name uncultured Arcobacter sp. RNAcentral describes it as "bacterial SSU rRNA". It matches the Rfam family "Bacterial small subunit ribosomal RNA", at positions 144 to 895 of the family's 1533-position model. Lineage: Bacteria; Pseudomonadati; Campylobacterota; Epsilonproteobacteria; Campylobacterales; Arcobacteraceae. The record is from RNAcentral.